This 253-nucleotide ribosomal RNA is filed under the name uncultured bacterium. Its description in RNAcentral is "partial 16S ribosomal RNA". It matches the Rfam family "Bacterial small subunit ribosomal RNA", at positions 524 to 776 of the family's 1533-position model. The record is from RNAcentral.
UACGUAGGUGGCAAGCGUUGUCCGGAUUCAUUGGGCGUAAAGCGCGCGUAGGCGGCUUCGCAAGUCGGCCGUGAAAUCUCCGGGCUCAACUCGGAGGGGUCGGGCGAGACUGCGAGGCUCGAGGUGGGCAGAGGGCAGUGGAAUUCCGGGUGUAGUGGUGGAAUGCGUAGAGAUCCGGAGGAACACCAGUGGCGAAGGCGGCUGCCUGGGCCUGGCCUGACGCUGAGGCGCGAAAGCGUGGGGAGCGAACCGG